RNAcentral lists this ribosomal RNA (498 nucleotides) under uncultured bacterium. RNAcentral describes it as "partial 16S ribosomal RNA". It matches the Rfam family "Bacterial small subunit ribosomal RNA", at positions 28 to 507 of the family's 1533-position model. The record is from RNAcentral.
GACGAACGCUGGCGGCGUGCCUAAUACAUGCAGGUCGAACGAGAGCGACCGGUGCUUGCACUGGUCAAUCUAGUGGCGAACGGGUGAGUAACACGUGGGUAACCUGCCCAUCAGAGGGGGAUAACAUCCGGAAACGGAUGCUAAAACCGCAUAGGUCUUCGAGCCGCAUGGCUUGAAGAGGAAAAGAGGCGCAAGCUUCUGCUGAUGGAUGGACCCGCGGUGCAUUAGCUAGUUGGUGAGGUAACGGCUCACCAAGGCCGUGAUGCAUAGCCGACCUGAGAGGGUGAUCGGCCACAUUGGGACUGAGACACGGCCCAAACUCCUACGGGAGGCAGCAGUAGGGAAUCUUCCGCAAUGGACGCAAGUCUGACGGAGCAACGCCGCGUGAGUGAAGAAGGUUUUCGGAUCGUAAAACCCUGUUGUUAGAGAAGAACAAGUGCUAGAGUAACUGUUAGCGCCUUGACGGUAUCUAACCAGAAAGCCACGGCUAACUACGUG